UACGGAAGGCAGCACUGGGGAAUAUUGCACAAUGGGCGAAAGCCUGAUGCAGCUAUGCCGCGUGUAUGAAGAAGGCCUUAGGGUUGUAAAGUACUUUCAUCGGGGAGGAAAAACAAAACUAAUAAUUUUAUUUCUUGACGUUACCCGAAAAAGAAGCACCGGCUAACUCCGUGCCAGCAGCCGCGGUAAUACGGAGGGUGCUAGCGUUAAUCAGAAUUACUGGGCGUAAAGAGCACGUAGGUGGUUUUUUUAAGUCAGAUGUGAAAUCCCUGGGCUUAACCUGGAACUGCAUUUUGAAACUGAAAUACUAGAGUAUCGUAGAGGGAGGUAGAAUUCUAGGUGUAGCGGUGAAAUGCGUAGAUAUCUGGAGGAAUACCUGUGGCGAAAGCGGCCUCCUAAACGAAUACUGACACUGAGGUGCGAAAGCGUGGGGAGCAAACAGGGAUUAGAUACC
Molecule: ribosomal RNA, 454 nt
Filed under: uncultured bacterium
Lineage: Bacteria
Description: bacterial SSU rRNA
Rfam family: Bacterial small subunit ribosomal RNA
Source: RNAcentral